RNAcentral lists this ribosomal RNA (407 nucleotides) under uncultured bacterium. RNAcentral's name for it is "partial 16S ribosomal RNA". It matches the Rfam family "Bacterial small subunit ribosomal RNA", at positions 28 to 526 of the family's 1533-position model. The record is from RNAcentral.
GACGAACGCUGGCGGCGUGCCUACUACAUGCAAGUAGAACGCAGUUGCGAACGGGUGAGUAACGCGUAGGUAACUGCCUCAUAGCGGGGGAUAACUAUUGGCAACGCUAGCUAAUACCGCAUACUGUGAGAAUGACCUGCGUUGUAUUAGCCAGUUGGUGAGGUAAAGGCUCACCAAGGCGACGAUAAAUAGCCUACCUGAGAAGGUGAGCGGGCACAACGGGAAUGAAACACGGUCGAGACUCCUACGUGAAGGAGCAGUAAGGAAUCUUCGGCAAGGGACGGAAGUCGGACCGAGCAACGCCGCGUGAGUGAAGAAGGGUUUAGGAACGUAAAGCCAUGUGGUUAGAGAAGCGGUAACUAACCAGAAAGGGACUGCUAACUACGGGCCAGAAGCCGCGGUAAUUC